Long non-coding RNA from Panonychus citri (citrus red mite), 1104 nucleotides. RefSeq lists it as uncharacterized. The transcript has 4 exons. The record is from RefSeq and is a predicted model, not a curated record. Lineage: Eukaryota; Metazoa; Arthropoda; Arachnida; Trombidiformes; Tetranychidae.
GUUGAAACAUUAAUUAAUAUCAUUGUGAAAAAAGUAUUUCAUCAGUUUACUAAUUGUUAAGUUAAUUUCAACACUCAACAAUCUAAUUAAAAAUGAAAUCAGCUUUGUCAUUCGUUGUUUGUGUUUCCCUGAUUGUUGCCACUUCAGCAGCUUCAAUACUCAAGGACGAAACUUGUCCAACACCAACUAUUCCUAAAGGAAUCAGCGAUUGGGACUUUAGUUAUUUCACCAAAAACUGGUAUGAAAUCGGACGAACUCAUGAAACUACCCCAAGAACCGUUUACAACACAAUCUCAAUUGGUCACUUGUACAAAGGAAAAGUUAGUGUUACUUUUUCAGGAGAUUCUCGAAAUGUAAGUCAAUCGAUAAUUAACAAUCGAAUUGGAUGAUUGAUAAUCGUCUAAUAAUUUCCAUUAAUUAAUAGAGGAACACAAUCUCUUUGGGACAAAUUGGUCAACUUUGUCGUCGGUAAUUUUAAUGGUAAAUCAUAUUACGAUCUAGAAGAUGAACCUUAUUCGUUCAAUGUAACUACUCCAGAGGGUAAACAAGGUAUUUUCUGGAUGCCUUAUUAUUCAGACUCUGAUCGAUCAGCUGUUCUUGCAACAUGUGUUCAAAAUGAUGAUAAAACUACUGAAAUCAAAGCUUGGUAUGUUUCAAUGGAAAAACGAUCGGCUUUCCCAGCAGAGGUUGUAAACUUGGUUACUGAAUUAACUGGACGAAGCUUAAUCAAAACUUGCCAAGGAGAUUUCUGUUAAUUAAAACCGACCAACAAUCGAUUUCGUUUGUUUUAAAUUAAGAUACUUUUAUAUUAAACCUUUAGAGCAUAAAUUCAAAACAAUUGUAAAACAAUUCAGUUUAGAGAAAUUGAUCAGUAAAUUGUUAUUAUAAUAUAAGACUGAAGAGUUUAUCAGGAAACAAAAGAAUUACAUUUAACAUAAUUGAAAGGCAAUGGAUUAAAAUCAUUGGAUUGGAUAUGAAUUACAACCAUUUGACAAGAGGAUUUUAAUUACAAUUCGAUCAAGUUAAUUACAAUUAAGCUUUUCACUCCCUUCCCUCCUCUUAUAUUGCCAAUGGUGUUUAAAAUAAAAGCUACUUUGCUGUAAA